This 360-nucleotide long non-coding RNA is filed under the name Vulpes vulpes (red fox). RNAcentral's name for it is "lncRNA (ENSVVUG00000018973.1)". Lineage: Eukaryota; Metazoa; Chordata; Mammalia; Carnivora; Canidae. The record is from RNAcentral.
GGAUAAUGAUGCCAUUGCCACAUUUUCUCUAAAUGAAUUUUUUAAGAAUGGAAGUCACGUUAUCAAAAGAUUUUAUGUGGGCCUUUAAAAAAAUGCACAAAGGAUUUAAGGUUAAUUUGAAGAAAUGAAAGAAAAUAUAGUUGAUGCCUACACAGAUGAAUAAUGAAGAAAGUCUUUGUGAAUCAAACAAUCCACCUUGGAAAGAACUGGAUAAACUAUUUUAUUCUUUCUGAAAAUGUAAUAAAGCAGCAUUCUGAAAGUAUCAAUGUAUAUGUGUGAACACCACAGAAGAAACAAAACGAAAGGGGAUGUUCAUCAGAACCUGCUGUAUAAGAGGAACCUGAGGAGGACCACACAGAG